RNAcentral lists this long non-coding RNA (2823 nucleotides) under Sus scrofa (pig). RNAcentral describes it as "lncRNA (ENSSSCG00005002267.1)". The record is from RNAcentral. Lineage: Eukaryota; Metazoa; Chordata; Mammalia; Artiodactyla; Suidae.
CUUUUAGAAAAGUCUAAAGUAUUCAUUUUUUCCUAAGAUUUUAUUUGGAAAAAUUUUUAGCAAACAGAAAACUUUUAAAGAAAUUUAUAAAAAAUAGCCUCAUGUAUACCUGUCCCAUAGAUUUUAAAAUUAUAAACCAUUAAUUUUUAAACAAAGAAGAUUCUGCCAUUCUCUUCCUUUUGACAAGUGUCCAGGUAGAGCACGUUCCUGCACAGACAUCAGCUCCCCUAUGUCAGAGAGCUCCUGGUUUUUUCGCAAACUUGCUUCAUUCAACACCAGUUACCUGCGGACGUGGUCCUCAUAAAAAUGUUUCUUGGUCUCCAUCUUUCAAAACUCAUGCUGUAUUUCCCCUCUCCCUCAGGCCACAAUUUCUAAGGUUUUCUUCUCUGCCUGGCCUGUCAGAUUGAGGGCGAUUGUAAAACUGCUCUGGAAGGAGUUUAUUCUGUUGCUUUAUGACACCUCCUCAGGACUCUGAAAUUAAAACUCAAUCCUCAGACAAGAUGUAGCUUUAAAAUGAAAGUAGGUAGCAACUUGAAAUCAGCCCAUUCUUUGUUUUGCACUUUAAAAAUAUUUUUAGCUGUUAUUUAGGAAAGAACAUUCUAGACUUUUAAAAAGUAUAUAUUGUCCCCUAUAAUAUGUAUGUGGAAGAGUUAAACAUGAAAACUCACUGUUUUAUCUUAAUCAGUGGGCUUAGAUAUUAUUGUAAAACAUUCUUUAUAGAAAAUAUCUCUGUGUAUGUCUUGUGGGUUUUGGGGGUCAUGCCUGUGGCAUGUGGAAAUUCCUGGGCCAGGGAUCAAACCCUCACCACUGCAGCAACCUGAGCCGCAGCGGUGACAAUGCUGGAUCUUUAACCUACUACGCUGCAAGGGAACUCUUUAUAUGUUUUUGAUGAGCCCUAUCCAAUCUGUUUUAGAAAGAACUAGGUAAAAUCCAAACCCUAAAGUCUGUAUUUUUAUGUUUAUUUUUAAGGCUACUUCUUUGCAAAAGGUUGCCGUUUAACCCCAGGUUAUAAGGUUCUAAGGUAUAGAGUUGAAUGACCCUAAUAUUUAUGUAAAAGCCUGUUGUUUUAAAGGAAGGGGCAUGAGUGAAAAGGUGCAGCUUGAGAACUGCCUUUUUACAUUGAUGGUAAGAAAUGAAAACAAUGAGAGGAAAAGAGAGAAGCCAUCAAAUGUAUCCCAGAAUUUUGCUCAUAUCCUAAUUUUGCGUUGGUCUUUAGUUUGCAUUUCAUUUGUUGGAUCUGUUCUUUAGGCCCGAAGCCUCACUGGUCCUCACUGUGCUUGUUGGAGGCACAAACCCACUUUGCCACCUUUUCCAACAGCAUUAACUUCAGAAACAUUUUUGAGUAGGUCUCCUCUGCUGAGUAUAAUCCUGGCCUGAGUAUUGAUUUCAUCUCUAUAUACUCUGGGACUUGUGAGUCUAGGACCAUGAAAAAAGAUGGUACGUUUAGAAAGAGACUAAGAAGGGGUUCCCGUCGUGGCUCAGUGCGGUUGAUGAACCUGACUAGUAUCCAUGAGGACUUGGGUUCAAUCCCUGGCCUCGCUCAGUGGGUUAAGGAUCCAGGUUGCCAUGAGCUGUGCUCACCUGUCAGUUAAAGGAGCUCUCUUUCUGAACGCUUCCUCACUCAGGUUUGAAAUGCCUCCUCUGUAAUGUUACCUGUGAUUGAUUGUUAGUGUUGCUUUUUAAGUCUAGGCAGGAAUCAUCUGGAAAACAUUAUCCUAAUUCCUCUUCUCAUGUCCUAAGCAGUAUAUUUUAGUAAGAAAUUCUGUAUUUGAGUUCCUGCUGUGGCACAGUGGGUUAAGGAUCCGAUUGCAGGGGCUUGGGUUGCUGCGGAGGCACAGGUUUGAUCCCUGGCCUGGUGCAGUGGUUUAAAGGAUCUGGUGUUGCUGCAGCUGUGGUUUAGGCUGCAGCUGCAUCUUGAUUCAAUCCAGGAAUUUCCAUAUGCCGCAGGCACAGCCAUAAAACAAGAGAGAAAAGAAAAGUAAUUCCAUAUUAAAAAUUUCACUAACAUCCCUUUCUGAGACUAUUGUCUCAUACAUGAAUUUGGCUCGAUCAAGCUGAAUUGUUGCCAUUUAGCCAUGUUCAAGAGCAAGGUAAGUCUGGAGAAAGCAAUCCAGCAACCUGUGACUCUGGUGUACCCAUUUCCCUUAAUAAUGGGAAGUGGUUUGAAAUUCCUAGAAGAAGGCUGCUUUGUGAUCCAAGUGAUGGAUUAUAAGAAAGACAGACUUUGGGUAAGGAUCAUUGGAAGAGAGGAGGUGCUUAAAUAUUUCCUAAACUAUAUGCCAUUUAGCUUCUAUUUCUGAAAUGUCUGCUUUGGUGCCAUAUAUUGAGAUCUAUCAGUUGACUGAAAGAUAACCAUGCUUUCUUGGUAAAUAAGCAAUUGGUAACCCAAAGGCAUUCUUUCCUUAUCAUUUUAUAUCAUGCACUGAUGCUGACAUUACAAAAAAAGAUCUGGAAGGGAAACAGCCACAGUCUUUUCUUUAAAAUACAGAGUAUCCCAAUCACUCAUUUAUUUUGGUCACUUUGUUUUAAAUGUUUCCCUUCAUGAGAAAUGCUGUCAAUAUCUCAUGUGAUUUCUAAGAGCUCUGAACCAAAUUGUUACUUGUUAUGUCCUGCUAAGUACUUUUUUCUUUAAAAUACCCUGUUUUACCACCCUGUGGCACUGAUGUGUUGCUGUGCUACACAGAUGACCCUGAGUUAGGGUUCCUGAAAUAGCUCAGUUCUUGUGUUUUUAUAUUAUGUAACAGUUUUGUGAUGCUUUUGUGCAUUCUUUGUCUUCUCUUCCAAGUUUUGAAAUCUGUCAUAAAUAAACUUUUUCACUAUGCA